RNAcentral lists this ribosomal RNA (277 nucleotides) under uncultured bacterium. RNAcentral describes it as "partial 16S ribosomal RNA". It matches the Rfam family "Bacterial small subunit ribosomal RNA", at positions 29 to 301 of the family's 1533-position model. The record is from RNAcentral.
AGUGAACGCUGGCGGCAGGCCUAAUACAUGCAAGUCGAACGGCAGCACAGCAGAGCUUGCUCUGUGGGUGGCGAGUGGCGGACGGGUGAGGAAUACAUGGGAAUCUGCCCAGUCGUGGGGGAUAACGUAGGGAAACUUACGCUAAUACCGCAUGCGCCCUUCGGGGGAAAGCCGGGGACCUUCGGGCCUGGCGCGAUUGGAUGAGCCCAUGUCGGAUUAGCUAGUUGGCGGGUAAUGGCCCACCAAGGCGACGAUCCGUAGCUGGUCUGGAGAGGAU